Alexandromys fortis (reed vole) is the source of this 2114-nucleotide long non-coding RNA. RefSeq lists it as uncharacterized. The transcript has 3 exons. Lineage: Eukaryota; Metazoa; Chordata; Mammalia; Rodentia; Cricetidae. The record is from RefSeq and is a predicted model, not a curated record.
UUCCAGCGUCUAGGCUCCUUUCCUGAUUGUGCAGCCCGACGGUGAUCUAGGUCUCCUGAUGCCACCGGGAGACAGAAGACCAAAGGGAUGUACAGGUAUAAGCGAUUAUAGCCUCUGGGCCAGGACUCAACUUCAGCCAUCUGAUAAUCAGAGUUUGGAGCAACUUCCUUGUUCUCUACAAGAUUCCCAACAAUGACUCAGCAAUGUCUCCCCCAGGAUUUCUGGAUUCCUUCCUUCCUUCCUUCCUUCCUUCCUUCCUUCCUUCCUUCCUUCCUUCCUUCCUUCCUUCCUUUCUUUCUUUCUUUCUUUCUUUCUUUCUUUCUUCUCUUUCCUGAUAAAAGAUGAACCAGCCCAAUCAAAGCGAAAUGGGACAUUAAGAAGACAGGAACCAAGGUGAAGUCUCUCAGCAAGAAUUCCAGCUUGAUUAACAUUUGCAGUGGCAUUAGCCUGCAUGGGGACAAUAUUCUUGUUUUUUUUUUUUUUUCUCAAAGAGAUUUAAAUAAGAAUGACAAACAACAAUGGAUACUUAUGCCCAAGCAGAUACAUGGCUUCAAGCCUUGCUCAGUUGAAAACCUGUGAUCUCCUGGGAGUCUCACAAACAGUACUUCAUCUGUAGCAAAAGUGCAACUUAACUCCUGCAGACCCCCGGUGACACACUUCAUCCAGCAAGGCUGUACCAUGGAAACCUCCCUAAACAGCGCCACUCACUGAGGACCACAUAUUCAAACGCUGCCACUCACUGGGGACACUUAUUCAAAUGCUGGAGACUAUGGGGACAUUUUUCACUCAAACCGCUGCAACAAAGGUCUCAUAAAAGAACUACUCUGGCUGCUAUAGAUGGCAGCAAGGAGCUGCUAUGGCCUCACUGCUGCUAACAGAGCUAAAAAUCACUGGGCCUGGUGGCCAAGCCUUGAAAUUCCAACUACUUGUGAGGCUGAAGCAGAAGGAUGCUAUUUUGAGGCCAGCCUGGGUAUCCCACCAGACUUUGUGACAAAAUAAAACAGGGUACGGGUGUGCUUGGUGGUGGACCCUCGAUUCCAACUCCCAGCACCAUGGUAGAGCAUCAGUGCCUGGUGUGAACCCUCCUCUCUUUAACCCCGUUAUUUCUGAGGUACCAGAAUUCAUUUUAGAGAUGGGUGUUACGGCGGCAGCCUAUGAUCUUGAGAACUCGGAAUCCACCACGUUGUUCUUUUGGACCAAAUAAUCAAAUAGAGUUGAGGCCCAGAGCAAGCACACUCCACAGCAGCCACAGGUAGCUGAAUAAACAAUUACACGGAUGACAACCGGAACCUGUUUGAAUCCUUCCCAGCAUGCAUCGCGUCACCCCCAGGAAAGAAAGGGAACUAUAUUUAUUUUCUGCGCCCUGGCUGGGUGUAAUCAGCAGAUCUCUCCUCUGAGAAGGGAGAGGAUGUCUGCUGGUCUGGAUUAAAACACAUUAGCAGGGGAAGCAUACGGUCAUUUACACCGCGCCUGCUCCCACACUGAGCCAAGGUUAACACAUUAAUGAAAAGGAAGAGCGCGGUAUAAAUGUUGAGCCUUAUUAAACAUGAGAUCAUCGCUUCCGGCUAUCUUUAUUAGGGAACGUCUCCCUCCUCCUGUGCCUGCACACUGACUAUCGUUCUUCUGAGAGCUAAUUGUGUUUUGGAGGAAGAACGGCAGCAGUUCGCCGUGUGACUGCGAGGACGGACGCUGCUCCAGAUGGGUUUCGUUGAGAUGAUACGGGAAGAAAAUGGCACUAUUUACUUAAGGACAGCCUUGCAUUUUCUUUUGUUCCUUCAACAGGUUACUAAUCACAGGAGUGGUAAUUAGCCUCGACAGAGCGUACACAGAAAACGAUAAAUGGAGGCUGUGUGCACGGAGGGGCCUCUGCCUUGCCAGGCUUAUUAUUUCCAGUCCCGCUAAUUGUCCUUAUUAUGCCGCGUGACUCUUUUUUGCUUGAAUUAUGAGCGAAAAAGUGCUGAAUAGAAUUAUUUUUUUUUUCCAAAGUGCCCUGAACUAUAGAGGGAAAUGAAAAUCACAAACAAUGAAAAGCUUGUUAAACAAUGAGAGUGAUCAUCUAUAACGGCAUCCUGAAGGGACAUCCCUCUUCCUGCGCCAUAAAAAUGUAAAGUGCU